Molecule: long non-coding RNA, 1823 nt
Filed under: Triticum aestivum (bread wheat)
Lineage: Eukaryota; Viridiplantae; Streptophyta; Magnoliopsida; Poales; Poaceae
Description: long non-coding RNA (TAES_LNC017604)
Source: RNAcentral
AAGUUGGUUUUUGUUAUCCUCCAAAAGAUAGUGUAUUGCACACUGUACUUACCUUCAGGGAGAAAAUAAAUGAAUAGAGAAGCCAUCUCCUCCAGCCUGGAGAUCUUCUCAAGCACAACCUCACACUUCUCCUGCAAAACAAAUUCAUAGUUCAAACAUCUAACUUCGUUAUGCAUGCAACUACUCGGUACAAAAAUGAUAAUUGAGACUGAGAAGUCCGCUCCAAUUUCAGUACCUUCAGGAACAACACUUCCACGUCCAGCUAGUUGCUGCCUCGGUUCACUCCAUACAAUGAGAAAUGAUAAACUUGUGUCACAUCUACUGCAGAUUAGAAAUCAGAUAAUGCAAGAAAACAUCCACAUCAAGGAAACCAUUAGUAAAUCAAAAUAUAAACAUAUGUGCACAUCUCAUUUUUCUGAGUUAUGAUAAAUCUCAGAUUGAUAGUCUUGUAAGAAUAGCAGUUGCCAUCAAGCAUCAAGUAAACAAUUUGUGAACAAGUAUCAAAGAGCAAGAUUAACAUGUAGCAGACAAAUUCAGCUGCAUUACUUGAUUUAACAACAUUCCAAGGCAUCAAUACAAUAGCAACUCUGUUUGACAGUACAAGCUUCAGUGAAUAAACACAACAAAAGAUCAAUUUGCAAGCACCAUACCGAAUAAUAAGGUCACCAGGAAAGUAACCGGUCCUGGUUCCCCGUGGUCUAGCGCUUAGGCCACUUCAUAGCAUAGACAAAGCAAGAUAUUGAUUUGCAUCACCUAAAUAAUAGUAGUAGAAAACAAUCAAUAAACACAUAUCCUUCUUAUUAUCAAUCAAAAGUACUUGAAACUAAAAUUACAGAAGAACAUUUAUCUCCUAAGAGCAUGACCUAACCACAUGCUGAAUCAAAUUGUCAUAAUUUUUGGAAGUUUCAUCAUUACCCAAACUUGUUAUUUCCUCCUCUCUGUCUCAAAACUAUCAUAAAUCCAUAUCUUCGAUCUAAAAUGGUCUACUUUCUUCAUAAAGCAAUCAACCAAGACAAGUACUACCCUAUAACUAAAUAUUAAGACAUUUUUGUUGUUCAAAUUGAACUACAAAAACUUCUAAUAUUUAGUUACUGAGGGAGUAUCUUUUAAGGAUGAGUAUAGAUAAGAUAUCAAAAGCUCUGUAGGAGAACAAACAUGGGAAUGUUUCGAGAAUUAGCAAGACUAAACAUCAAAUAUGGAUUGUGUGCAACUUGUAGAUCUUGUAAAGAGUAUAUAACAUCCAAAUGAAAAAUCAAAAUUACUACGUUGUACAUCAUGAACUGUUGAGAAAGAAAACAAAUAUGUGGUCUAAACAAUCCAGAAGAUUUCUCUGAGCCUACAAAAUUUACUUUGUUGCAAUACAAACGUAAAGAAUGGCGCGAUAAGUAAAAAAAACACAGUGGCACAAGUAAUCUGUGAAUAGGUGGUAUUUAGAUCGUUUAAUAGAUUCAUUAUGUGAGUAUUCAUACUAAAUAAAAAUCAAUACCAGAACUAAAUCAUAGUAAAUAGAUCUGGAGUAUUUUCUCUGAAAAGGGCAUUAUAUUGGACCAUGAGACUCACAACAAUAGAACUGCAGCUACAACUGAUAACAGAGCAGCAUUUUUAUACACGGUCCGAAGAACAGUAAGAUUCACUCACAUGAACCCUAGAUCGAUACUACUGAAUUACGGAAUUUAUAAGCGAACGACAGCUCAUGUUUACCUUGUUCAUUGGUGGCACCGCGGACUGGAUUUUCCCCUUUCCUGUCAUCGGCAUGGUGGAGAAGAGUUCCCUCCAUGCACUGAUUGAUAUUGAGUCAUCAGUUGCUUUCAAAUCACAAAGAA